RNAcentral lists this ribosomal RNA (443 nucleotides) under uncultured bacterium. RNAcentral describes it as "partial 16S ribosomal RNA". It matches the Rfam family "Bacterial small subunit ribosomal RNA", at positions 338 to 795 of the family's 1533-position model. The record is from RNAcentral.
CCUACGGGCGGCAGCAGUGGGGAAUAUUGGGCAAUGGAGGAAACUCUGACCCAGCAACGCCGCGUGAAUGAUGACGGUCUUCGGAUUGUAAAGUUCUUUUCUAAGGGAAGAAGAAAGUGACGGUACCUUAGGAAUAAGCCUCGGCUAACUACGUGCCAGCAGCCGCGAUAAUACGGAGGAGGCAAGCGUUAUCCGGAAUGACUGGGCGUAAAGGGUGCGUAGGUGGUUUGACAAGUUGGUAGCGUAACUCCGGGGCUCAACCUCGGCACUACUACCAAAACUGUCGGACUUGAGUGCAGGAGGGGCAAAUGGAAUUCAUAGUGUAGCGGUGGAAUGCGUAGAGAUUAGGAGGAACACCAGUGGCGAAGGCGAUUUGCUGGACUGUAACUGACACUGAGGCACGAAAGCGUGGGGAGCAAACAGGAUUAGAUACCCUAGUAGUC